CCUACGGGAGGCAGCAGUGAGGAAUAUUGGUCAAUGGGCGAGAGCCUGAACCAGCCAAGUCGCGUGAGGGAGUACUGCCCUAUGGGUUGUAAACCUCUUUUGUCGGGGAGCAAAAGCCGGACGUGUCCGGCUGUGAGAGUACCCGAAGAAAAAGCAUCGGCUAACUCCGUGCCAGCAGCCGCGGUAAUACGGAGGAUGCGAGCGUUAUCCGGAUUUAUUGGGUUUAAGGGGUGCGCAGGCGGGUUUUUAAGUCAGCGGUAAAAACGUGGGGCUCAACCCCAUCCAGCCGUUGAAACUGGGGGUCUUGAGUGUGCGAGAGGUAUGCGGAAUGCGUGGUGUAGCGGUGAAAUGCAUAGAUAUCACGCAGAACCACGAUUGCGAAGGCAGCAUACCGGUGCACAACUGACGCUGAGGCACGAAAGCGUGGGUAUCGAACAGGAUUAGAUACCCUGGUAGUC
RNAcentral lists this ribosomal RNA (458 nucleotides) under uncultured bacterium. RNAcentral describes it as "partial 16S ribosomal RNA". It matches the Rfam family "Bacterial small subunit ribosomal RNA", at positions 338 to 795 of the family's 1533-position model. The record is from RNAcentral.